This is a long non-coding RNA of Cyprinodon tularosa, 728 nucleotides long. RefSeq lists it as uncharacterized. NCBI's taxonomy places the organism in Eukaryota, Metazoa, Chordata, Actinopteri, Cyprinodontiformes, Cyprinodontidae. The transcript is spliced from 4 exons. The record is from RefSeq and is a predicted model, not a curated record.
UGGAUCGGAAACCUAUUUAUGGAGCUUUUCCAGUCAGUCAAGUUAUAUACUUAGUCACAGAGAAGAUGUACCACCGUUGAGGUAAUAAAAGGUAGUGAAAGACUGUUUCCACCUUCUGACUUGAUAAAACUGGAUCAUCUCAAACCCCAAAAAAGCAGCAAUGGCGGCGGUGCCCACAUAUGUUUUCCUCAUUUUUGUUUUGCUGACUCUGCUUUACCCUGCCAGUACAUGGAUAGACAAACAUGAGCUGAGAGAAAUACAAAAUGACAUUCAGAAGUUACACCAAGAUGCUGACAGGAGAAAGAUAAUAAACAUGGUUGACCGCAAAUACAUUCCUGAGAUCCUUGAUGAUGUUACAUACUUGCUUGACGCCUUAAUAAGAGUACUAAAGAGACUAGUGCCAAAUUUUUUGUUGGGAUUUAUAAAAGAAAUAAACAGCUUACUGGAACAAAGCCAAGGUUUUGCAAGAAGAGAACUUCUGAAUCAAGCUGCAAAUAUCGAGAAGUGCAAACAAAAACUGGCAGAACUGGAAACUCUUGUAACACACCUGGCAGAGAAAGAACCUAAUUUGUAAUGCUUGUCCGUUGUCUGUCUUUAAAGCUGUAAUACACUAUGUUUCGUGAAGCAUAGUGUAUUACAAAAAAUCCCGAAACUGUAUGACUAAUUUGUAAUUCCUUGUGUUCUAAAUCAAAACAAUAAAAUGCUAAUGCAUCCAUAAUUUACUAUAA